UUGCUGUGAUGAAACUAACUAGCUCACUUUGAAUAAAGAUGAAAAGUUAAGAACACCUGAGCAUC
This 65-nucleotide small nucleolar RNA is filed under the name Xenopus tropicalis (tropical clawed frog). The record is from RNAcentral. Lineage: Eukaryota; Metazoa; Chordata; Amphibia; Anura; Pipidae.